Molecule: long non-coding RNA, 1813 nt
Organism: Panicum virgatum (switchgrass)
Lineage: Eukaryota; Viridiplantae; Streptophyta; Magnoliopsida; Poales; Poaceae
Exons: 2
Source: RefSeq, a predicted model, not a curated record
ACAUAACGAAAUCUGCUCCAUAGGAUCUGGCGUCUUAUUUGGCCACGUCGCUGGCCGUUCUCUUCCGUUGGAUGUUGAUCGGACCAUCCACAGUUGCAGGCAAAUUACCUAGCGUUUCUAGACACUUCGUCCCGACUCCUGAGUGUGCGCCGCUGCCGCCGUUGUCCACCUACCCCCUCGCCGGCGCACGAGGAGCUCUCCCAAUCCUCCUCACAAGGGCCAUGGACCCAAUCUCGUCUCGCUUUCAUCACUCUCUCCAGCUAGUGCCAUCCGCACUGGAAUCUUUUUCUCCCAUCUAGCUGACGCUCCUCCCCACUCAUCCACAAGCACCUUCCAUUCCCCCAGCAGUUGCCGGUCGAUAUUCUCCUGCCAGCUGCAAGGUCCGUCGUCCUCCACACCUGGCUAGUGAUUCGUGAAGGAGCCAUGGUGUCUGCGCCAGCGCAGCUCAAGGCUCUCGCGUCGAAGAAGGUGAGCCGCACCAGCCUGCACUGCAAAUAGCGGCCCUUGGGGCCUCUGUCACCACAGAGCACGACUGGUAGUGCCCCUACAGCCAGAGCGGUGGUCAACAUGUACGACGCCCAACAACUGCUUGAGGAAAUGCCCCAAAGGCUCUAAGGUUGUCUCGGGUGUGAUGAGGAUUUUAAAUCAAAUUAGCUCUCCACUUGUCAGUAUCUAGCAAACUUUCUCAUGUGCAUAAGCAGAUGCUAGGUUAAAAUUUCAUGUGUAAGAGCCAAUUUUGUACUUGAAAGUGAGUUUCUUAUACUGAUGUUUUUUGCCCAUGGCUAGAAGUGCCUUGAUUGGUUCAAAGCAACUGGUUAGUCAGUGCCAUAUAUCAGCUUGAUUGCCGAUCCGCUUGGCUGCAGCAUCUAAUGUGGCACCCAUUUGGUUGUGUCGUCAUGAAAUUAUCUGCAGGCUUUUGAACAGGCUGUGGCCCAUGCAUAGAUUGUUGUUCCAUUUCUUUGUCUGUGAGUUAAGGGAUUGUAGUUGACAAGUGGUUUGCAGUUUCCACAAAUCAUGAGCUCAACCACUUCACGAUGAAUUAUUAGCUUUUUUAUCAACCAAUUGUGCACCAUGGAGAAUACCAAAUCGGUUAGUGCACUGCUUUCUUAGGAUUUGACUAACACAUGUUGAGUAUUUACAAGCAGCCAAAUAUUGCCAAAGCCACCAAGGUCAAGCUUGAGUUAUUGCCACAUCAAAUUGGAGGUAUUGGGCUUACUGUCAUAUAGCAUUGCCAAACUUGAACUUGGGAAAUCAGCCUUUUCUGGUCGGAGUAGCCUUUUGAAUAUUGCAUCUAUUAUUUCUAUGCAUAAGGUAUUAAUUGUCAACCUUAGUUUUUGGCACAGGAAAUGAUCAUUAUCAGCUUGAGAACCUCAAUGCCCACAAUGAAGGUUUUGGUUCUUGACUCCAGAUGACCUAAUUUGAACUCAGUUGUCGGCUUCCCUGCUCGCAAAAGCUGUGUAUAAUUAUGAGUCAUUAUCUUUGCUUGCUUUUAGACUUUAAACAUAAUCUAGCUAAAUUGUUUACAACUUGUUUCUUCUUUCCUUAUACAGCCUCACCAUGGAAGAAUAUGGAAAACAGUCGAGAACUAGAACAGCAAGUGGCAUGAUGUUGACUUCGCCAAUAAAACUUCAAUGAAACAAUAUAGCUUCUUGAGAUGCUCAAUUGAAAUUCCAAAGUGUGUAUCAGAGUACUUUUGCAGGAAAUAGGCAUACUCGUGACUUCUGGAUGGUUGAUCCCCUAUAACAGCUUCUUAUGUAAAUGCUGCUUGAGGAUUUCAUGCCCUUCCAUAAGAUUGUCAUGGCAUUUGCUCAAA